AUUGUCCGGAUACUUUUUGGGAGAGAUCACAGAAUAAAACGCUACAAUGUAAACAAGAAUAAUCUUGUCCUCUGCUGUAUUUAAUCUUUCAUUAUUUUUCAUCAGACACGUGGUGCAUUUUCAUUGAGAGAAGAGGCAAUCUUGCUUGUCAUUUGCACAAUUUAUAUUUCAAGCAAAAAAAUUUAUUUGCAGUUUUAACUAAACAUAUAAUAUUUACUUGCAAGUGAAUCUAUGUUACUAACUAGAUGUCUAGUAAUAUGCCUCGAUCCUGGAUGAUAUUUUAGACCCAGAUUGAUCAAAGUCUGGC
This 307-nucleotide long non-coding RNA is filed under the name Fragaria vesca (wild strawberry). RNAcentral describes it as "long non-coding RNA (FVES_LNC001792)". Lineage: Eukaryota; Viridiplantae; Streptophyta; Magnoliopsida; Rosales; Rosaceae. The record is from RNAcentral.